This 489-nucleotide ribosomal RNA is filed under the name uncultured bacterium. RNAcentral's name for it is "partial 16S ribosomal RNA". It matches the Rfam family "Bacterial small subunit ribosomal RNA", at positions 28 to 507 of the family's 1533-position model. The record is from RNAcentral.
GAUGAACGCUAGCGGGAGGCCUAACACAUGCAAGCCGAGCGGGAUUUGUUGGUUAGCUUGCUAACUAACAAUGAGAGCGGCGUACGGGUGCGUAGCACGUGUGCAACCUGCCUUUAUCUGGGGGAUAGCCUUUCGAAAGGAAGAUUAAUACCCCAUAACAUAUUGAUUGGCAUCAGUUAAUAUUGAAAGCUCCGGCGGAUAGAGAUGGGCACGCGUAAGAUUAGCUAGUUGGUGAGGUAACGGCUCACCAAGGCUGCGAUCUUUAGGGGGCCUGAGGGGGUGAUCCCCCACACUGGUACUGAGACACGGACCAGACUCCUACGGGAGGCAGCAGUGAGGAAUAUUGGACAAUGGGUGAGAGCCUGAUCCAGCCAUCCCGCGUGAAGGACUAAGGACCUAUGGUUUGUAAACUUCUUUUAUACAGGGAUAAACCUACUCUCGUGAGGGUAGCUGAAGGUACUGUAUGAAUAAGCACCGGCUAACUCCGUG